Molecule: long non-coding RNA, 2826 nt
Organism: Ooceraea biroi (clonal raider ant)
Lineage: Eukaryota; Metazoa; Arthropoda; Insecta; Hymenoptera; Formicidae
Source: RefSeq, a predicted model, not a curated record
AUAUCGCGUUGCGCCGGAACAGCGUAACGACGCGGAUUUUUGGAUUUUCCGAGGGAAUCCCCGUCAGUGUGCGCUUGCACACACACGCACUCUGGAACACUUCUCUUUGCUGCAAGGAUGCUGUAAUUAUGCAUGCCGACGAAGAUCAAGGCGAACGCAGAAUAAACUCAAGAGCGAAGAAAUAGUCAACUUGAUAAGUAGAUGCAUAUAUACGUAAUAAUGACAACUGUGUGCAAAUGCUUAUCGUAAUUUUUCAUCGACAUUGAUGCUUACGUAUUAAAUAAUAUCAAAGAGACUGAUGAAAAGCAAGUUUUUCUAAUUUGUUUUGUUGUUCUAGAAUACUUUAAAUUAAUUGAGAAAUUCUUAUCACGUUACAGCAAGUGACUUAAAACUAAUAAAUCAUAAACAAAUUAAAAUCUUAGGUGUGCACGUAUAAAAUUAUGAUUCUGUGCAAAAAAGAAAGUACAAAGGAAAGCUAGUGUUAAUAAGGUAAAAAUAUGAAAAUCGAUAUUAAAGACUAUAAAAAUAAUAGCAAUGUCGUUUAACCACUUUUUAUCGCUUUUAAAGUGAGCAAAAUAUUAGCUAAUGAAAAAAUGAUGAGAACAGUAUUUAUUCUUCAGGAAGAAUACGGUUCAUUAAAGAACCACUAAAAUCUGUUAAUGGAUGACUACCGAGAAGACACAUUAAACUCUCCUUUAAACGACGCUAUUAUGCAUAAUAAGUAUAUAGAGACUGUUUUCGUCGCUACAUAAGGGCAGAAGCAAGAUUUCCCAACUUGAGCAUACGUACGUUCUGAAAUUGAUAUUGAGAUCAUCAUGCUGAUUACAAAUUGAUUUAUGUUUAUCAAAUGUAGUAUAUUAAAAACAUAUGUGUAUUAAAAUUCUAUCCUAUUAUAAUUUUGAUACUACUUACGUUAUUCUAAAGUUAAUCUUAAAAAUUAUCUGAUCGCUAUUAUUGCGAUUUCCUUUUAAUUAAUAAUUAAAAGUAAUCAACAGUAACAUUAAUUUUGAAAAAAACGAAUAUUAUAUCUUAAUUUAUAUAAAUUUAAUCUCUAAAUAAUUAAAAAAUAUAACUGAUUUAUUAAUAUAUUUGAUUCUGAUUUGAAACACACGUGGCAAAGCUGUUAAUUUCUACAAUUAUCAGCAUCGCGCUUUGGAAUCACGAUCAAAUUGCAUAUGCAAAUUUAGUUAAUAUUUCCUGUUUGCCUCUCACUCAACGUUGCGAUUAGACUCGCAUACGUUGUAUCCGCCGAUCAUGUUAUUGCGUGUCAAUUUUGCUCAUGUGUAAAUUUUUGCAUGUUCCAUCACCGAUCACGAACACAUGUCACUCCUUUUCCAAAAAACCGAGAUGAGAUUCCGAGUAUCUUAAACAAAUGCAUGACACAAUAGGAUAUAAAUAAUAUUACAUUUUCAAGUUCUCGUUUAAAUGAUAGAGAAAAAAUUAUGCCAACUUAUGCUACUAUGCGAUGAGAUGAUAAUCAGUAACCGUACUUCGAUCUUGUAUUUUGCAAUUCAUAAUUAUGUCUCUUAUAUAAUGGAAGACUAAGAACUGUUACAGUUACGAAGAACUUAUCCCGUUAACAUAACAACGUAACGAACAUUUUGAAAGCUAUAAAAUCAAUAUUUAACAUAUUUCAUUAAUUGAGAGACAAAACUCUGAAUCGAUAAUAUUAUUAUAUAAUAAUCAAGAUACUACAACAUUGCGUCAAAUAGCAUUUAAUUGAAAUAAAAAUUUAUUGAUGACCAAGCUGGCAAUACAAAUGUAAAGGGCACAACGUUUCGGCCGACGGAAAUAGCAUUUAAUUCGAAUAAUAUUUUAAUAUUUUAUAAAUAAUAUUUUAUCUGCACUGUUCUUAUACUUAUCACCGAUACCGUCACAUGCGCGUAACAUACGAAUUAAAUACUUUUUCAACAACAUUUUCUACUUACGUCACUGAUAACACGAUGCGCAUUUACAAACGGAAAUAAUUAGAUUUACCGAGAAAAUAUUGCAACUUGCAAACUUGCUUUUCUAGAAUACUUAAUUAUUUGCAACGGCGAUCGUUACGGGGAACAUCUACCGAUCAAAUUAUUCGAAAUGUGCGUAACGAAAACCGCACGAGCUGCCACCUCACCUUCCUGUCGGUUGCAAAAGAAUGCGGAGUCCGUUUAGCCUUGAUCGAGUCAGAUCGGAUCUAGGAAUAAUAAUCGCUUUUUUAGUGAUGGAGAACCGUAACGAUAAUCCCUUUUGGAGGUAGAUGCUGAUUCAGAGAAUUCAAAUCCAUAAAUUAAUGAAUCGUUAUUUUUAUAUUAGAAUGACAAGAGACUUCACAUUUGGAAUAUGCAAAUGAACAUUAAUUAUUGUGGUACAUGUAUUAUUAAUAACUGUAUAAUUAAUUUGUGUAACGUUAGGUAUCUAUUAUAUUGUAUAAUACUAUCGUCUAUAAACGUCUAUAAAUCUACAUAACUGCUGCUUAGGAAAUAAUAAUAUGUACAAAUCCCAAAAAACAAAUUUAUUUCAAAAGAUUUCGGGAACAACAUUACGUUAUUACGUUUGUAGAUUGUUCUCACGAUACGAUACACCGCUAUUGUCAGUAUCGCAAUUGUUGGUAUGCUGAUUUAACAAGCAUACAAAGAAGCCGUAAAAGCCAGAUAAUUGCUAUUAAAUGAUGGUUUGUAAUAAUUCUAGGUUCUGAUAUUGCGUUCUUUUGCAAAACUUCGUUCGCAAAGAAAUAAUUGAUACAACAUAAACUUUGAUUAUUCUUCUAUCUUGUACGGAAUAUGUAUCAUUGUUUUACAUUUUCAUAAAUCUAAUAUAGACACGAAGAACGUGUCUAUAUGUAUAUAA